ACGGAGGGGGUUAGCGUUGUUCGGAAUUACUGGGCGUAAAGCGCACGUAGGCGGACUGGAAAGUUAGAGGUGAAAUCCCGGGGCUCAACCCCGGAACUGCCUUUAAAACUUCCAAUCUAGAGAUCGAGAGAGGUGAGUGGAAUUCCAAGUGUAGAGGUGAAAUUCGUAGAUAUUUGGAGGAACACCAGUGGCGAAGGCGGCUCACUGGCUCGAUACUGACGCUGAGGUGCGAAAGCGUGGGGAGCAAACAGG
RNAcentral lists this ribosomal RNA (252 nucleotides) under uncultured bacterium. RNAcentral's name for it is "partial 16S ribosomal RNA". It matches the Rfam family "Bacterial small subunit ribosomal RNA", at positions 525 to 776 of the family's 1533-position model. The record is from RNAcentral.